CUGAAAAACCCCCGUUGUUCUUCAACUAUAAAAAUAUUUAACCU
RNAcentral lists this transfer RNA (44 nucleotides) under Caiman crocodilus (spectacled caiman). RNAcentral's name for it is "partial tRNA-Glu". The record is from RNAcentral. Lineage: Eukaryota; Metazoa; Chordata; Crocodylia; Alligatoridae.